ACCCUCCUGGUGCUUACCACAGGCUGUGUUCUUGUCGCUGACUGUAUAGAAAAAGGAGGCAGAGCGAAAAACCCCAUAUACACCUCAGCCCAGGCUCCUUGCCCGGUCUGCAUUGUGAAUGGGGGAACAUGU
Small nucleolar RNA from Erinaceus europaeus (western European hedgehog), 132 nucleotides. Lineage: Eukaryota; Metazoa; Chordata; Mammalia; Eulipotyphla; Erinaceidae. The record is from Ensembl.